Bubalus bubalis (water buffalo) is the source of this 3333-nucleotide long non-coding RNA. RefSeq lists it as uncharacterized. NCBI's taxonomy places the organism in Eukaryota, Metazoa, Chordata, Mammalia, Artiodactyla, Bovidae. The transcript is spliced from 7 exons. The record is from RefSeq and is a predicted model, not a curated record.
UCCAUGCCUCAGGCUUCAUGCCCAUUUGGUGUGUUUCUGUCCUGCUUCCUAAAUCAAUUUCAAGCCAAUAGUAGUUUGAAACAGUGUAGAAGACAGAGGAUGUAUUUUAGAGCAAGUCUUACCUAACAGAGUCAUUGGGUUCUUACGGUACAUGGAAUUCCAAGCUUUGGGUCUGUUUUCAGGCAUAAUUGAUUGCAUCUGAAGUUCAUUAUCAGUGCUCUGUUUAUGAAAUACCCAAAUAAGCAUUCCACUGAAUUAAUAUUCAGCUCUGAAAUUGAGUCUGCUAUUCAGAGAUCAUGUUUGUGAACCCACAGGGCAGGCAUAUAUACAGGAAAGAAAAUAGAAGCAGAUACAUUGAUUUAUAUAUAGCACUUUUCCUGGAAGCCCAGAAGAAUUGGUUAGUCUAGGUUAGUGCUAAGAGUCCUCAAAUUGGGGGCGGAAGCCUGAACUUUCCCUCUACCUCUGUGUCUGCUUCUGCCUGAAGAUUCUGUCAUCUUUAUUGUGCAGACAGUUAAAAAUGUAAAAUCAGAGAUUUGGAACUAUUGCUUUGCUGGAAACAUCUGACUGCUGGUCUAGAACAUGACUCCAGAUUCUCCAUGUACUGUGUGGUGAUGCUAUUACUUUGAACAUGACAGCAGCUCUGAGGGGUCAGUGUUGGGAGCCAAUGAGAAAGCUGAAUUUAAGUGACUCACCGGGACCUUUGGGACUCUUCAGAUGGAGAACAUGGCUGUGAAGGGACCUAUCAAUUUGGGCUCCUUCCAGAACUGAAAACUGGUUACAAAUAUGAAACAGAUUUAACUACUGGACUUGAACUCCACAUAAGGAAAAAAAAAAGGAAGAAGAUCCUCAAAGAUCCUCAUCAAAGAAUAGAUGCAGUGUGACUGGCAGGGAUAUCAAAGAGGUAAGAGAUUUGGGUAAGAGCUGUGACACAGCAGACAAUGGAAUGCUGUUGAUGGAGGGAAAGAAGAAUCUGUCUCGCUGCAUCAUGGGAACUAUUCUGAGACCUCAGGGCACUUUGUGUAUGUUGCUGAACCCUCACUGCUGCAUACUUGUGAACUUGGUGCUGCAGGGACCACGGAGUUAUAGAGUGCCCCUGCCUCCUUGGGCUCAAAGAGCUCCCAGUCCCAUGGAGGAGCUAGAUGUGCAGUUAGAUCAUCACAGUGCUCUGGGCCGUGCGAUCAUGUAUGUUCUUCCUGGAUAAAGGAGAAGCCUGGACCAGACUCUGCAGGCAGUGUGCCCUAAGUCAGGUGAUAUAAGUACUUCACUGCACCCUUCCUAGUCGUCCCAACAGCGCCUCAUGUACAGCCAUUAUCCUCCUAAAAGCCUUUCCCCCUCAGGCAAAAAUAACCUGCUUGGAAGAAAUUAUGAAGAGCUUUUCGGCUUCUUUUGAAGUUACAGUACCCGCCAAGUGACAUCCCCCGUGUUUCUGUUACACUCUUCCCGGAAGGACCAAGUCUCCUGAGUCAUAAGAUGGCAGCCAUCCUUUGCAGCCAUUGGCUUCCGAGGAGCAGGCAUUUCCAUCCAUCUGCAAAGGGAAGAAGAAUUAGCCGCCUGCUUGAAUCAACCAUAUGUGUGUUGGUUGGGGGCUGUUAGGAGACGUACCCCUGACGAGAGUCUAGUUGCCCAGCCAGCUUCCCUUUAUCAGAUGGGCUGGUGCCCGUUAUCAUUGUUCUCACAAGGUGAUAGCAGGAGUUGUUCCCUGUAAGAAGACGGUGGCAUUCUGGCAGGGUCAUCGUGGUGUUAAGAUGCAUAGCAUUUGUCAGGUUUGCCUAGGACUUCUGGAGGUUUAGUUAUGAAACUUGUUAAUUGAGCUAUAAAUAUAGCUGCAGCCUUUGCCUUCCAGUAAGGCAGUGUGUUAAUUUGGGUUUGGCAGGGGGAUGGUACAAGCUGCCAAUGUUAUGUUAGGAUUAGUAACGUGCGGUACAUUUUAACUCCACUUCCCCAUGUGCCACGCUUUCCUCCUCUGUUUGAUAUCUUUGUGAGGGAAGAGAGAAGAGAGGAGAGAGCAAGCUCAUUGUUAUGGGCAUCUCAUGUUAGGAGUGUUUAUCCGUGUUCCUGCUUUGCACCCUACAAGUCUCCAAGUGGAUGGAGUUAGGUACAUGGAGAGAGCCACGUGCGCCACCCCAGAGAGGGUUCAGCCACAACCUUCUGCCCCGAGAUUAGUGUAACCGUGGUUGCCAAGAGCAGGGUAUUUGCCCUUGCUCCCUCCCAGGAACUCCUCCCUAUAUUUAGAGCAUCUCUCUCUUUGUUAAAGUGAUCAUCAUAAAUAUGUGUUUUCCAUAAUAAAAAAUACAUCCUCCCCUUCUUUCACACAGAAGGAAUCACAUGGGGAAUGGAGUGGGUUUGUUUGCUUAUUUCUUCCUCAAAUACUUAUUAAGGGGUAAACAUGUCACUUGCUCAUCUCACUGAGGAAAAAGAAAUGUUAUGUUUUAAAGCUGCACAUACAAAUAACUUUGGCUGUGUCAUUUGUGGUCCUAGGGGGAAGGAAAGGGUACUGUUGAAGCAGUUAUUGCCCUGCCUGUUUUGAGAUGCUUGGUAAGUGAUAGCUAAAUGAAUGAAUGAGUAGGGCUCACUUAAGUAGUGUUUCGAAAGAAUGGUCUUUGUAGGUAGAUCACACCUACUUUUGUUUCUUAAAAUGUAUUACUGACCUGGAAAUAGGUUGGCAAAAAUGCAGAAUUCUGUUUGUUGGCAAUAUGAUAGAGGAAAGAACCCACUUCUGGCUAAAUAGUAUCAAACAUUUAAUUUCUUUUUUUUCUAAAUGAACCUGGCUUGAGUAGAAAUAUGAAAGAAUGUGGAAGUCUAACAUCCUGUGUGUGUCUCUGGAGAUAUCACUGAUUGCAUUUUCCCUGGUUAUGAAAUGUUAGAGAGAUCAGCUCCAACUCAAUAUUCUUUGUUUUUCAUUCUGCUUUCCCCCUCCAUGGGCAUGUCUCUCACCUCUGAUUAAGUAGAAAAUUCCAACUCUUUUUGUUUUGUUUAAUUAGAGCUGGAUGUCUUUCUCCCUUCUUUGGUUGAACUCUGGAAAUGAAGAUGGUAUGUCAUGGAUACAGAAAUGUGCUUCAGUCUAAUGAAGAUUGUAUUGAUUUUUUUUAUUUUUUACAGUGAAACCAUAGCCUGCCUCAACUGCACCAGCUGUUAAUUGUAUUUUUCCUAAGUCCUUUUGGUAUUCAUUUGAAAAGCAUUUUAUAACCCAUCUGGUGACCUUGCUGCUAACCAACAAUUAUAGUCUGACAUCUGAAUACAAAGAAUUUGGGGCAAGCCACAGUUGUACAUGGAAACCUUUAAAACAAUGUCUCCUUUAAUAUAGUCUUUACUAAAAAAAAUUGUGAAGAAAUG